Long non-coding RNA from Lagopus leucura (white-tailed ptarmigan), 448 nucleotides. RefSeq lists it as uncharacterized. The record is from RefSeq and is a predicted model, not a curated record. NCBI's taxonomy places the organism in Eukaryota, Metazoa, Chordata, Aves, Galliformes, Phasianidae. The transcript has 4 exons.
AGGUGGCAGACACACAGAUGGAUGGCAGGACCAAGGCAGUGCCACCUUGGAUCUUCUUCCACUGCCAUGGAACUGCAGGCUCAGGCAGAAGUGCCCUCUCCUCCUGAUCUCAGCCAUCCGGCAGUUUUUAGAACUCAACUCUCAGGAACUAAAAAUGAGAAGAUGCGACCCAGCAUGUCUUAUUCAUGAAACAUUCCCCAAACCCUUGAGGCAGUGGGAGUUUCACACCAAGAAAGGCCACGAGAUGAAUGCUCCUCGUGCUGGGUCUGAGCAGCACAACGAGACAACUGUUUGGCUGAAAACCAGAGGGAAGAGGACCCAAGCAUGGAGAGGGAACAGUCUGCUUCUGGACCAAGAGUCUGCUACGAAGAGAGGAACUGCCCACAGCUGGAUGCUUCAGGAAGUGAGAAAUGAAGAGCAUCCAUACUGAACAGCAGGAGCACCGCUG